RNAcentral lists this ribosomal RNA (503 nucleotides) under uncultured bacterium. RNAcentral describes it as "partial 16S ribosomal RNA". It matches the Rfam family "Bacterial small subunit ribosomal RNA", at positions 30 to 523 of the family's 1533-position model. The record is from RNAcentral.
AUUGAACGCUGGCGGCAGGCUUAACACAUGCAAGUCGAGCGGGGUGAUGGUGCUUGCACUAUCACUUAGCGGCGGACGGGUGAGUAAUGCUUAGGAAUCUGCCUAUUAGUGGGGGACAACAUCUCGAAAGGGAUGCUAAUACCGCAUACGUCCUACGGGAGAAAGUAGGGGAUCACUUGUGACCUUGCGCUAAUAGAUGAGCCUAAGUCGGAUUAGCUAGUUGGUGGGGUAAAGGCCUACCAAGGCGACGAUCUGUAGCGUGUCUGAGAGGAGGAGCCGCCACACUGGGACUGAGACACGGCCCAGACUCCUACGGGAGGCAGCAGUGGGGAGUAUUGGACAAUGGGGGGAACCCUGAUCCAGCCAUGCCGCGUGUGUGAAGAAGGCCUUAUGGUUGUAAAGCACUUUAAGCGAGGAGGAGGCUCUUUUGGUUAAUACCCAAGAUGAGUGGACGUUACUCGCAGAAUAAGCACCGGCUAACUCUGUGCCAGCAGCCGCUGUAA